AACGCGAAGAACCUUACCUGGGCUUGACAUGCUUGGAUUAUCUCCAUGAAAGUGGAGUAGGCCCUUCGGGGUACAACAAGUACAGGUGCUGCAUGGCUGUCGUCAGCUCGUGUCGUGAGAUGUCGGGUUAAGUCCCUUAACGAGCGAAACCUUUGCCCUUAGUUACCAGCGGGUUAUGCCGGGGACUCUAAGGGGACUGCCGGUGUCAAACCGGAGGAAGGUGGAGAUGACGUCAAGUCCUCAUGGCCUUUAUGCCCAGGGCCACACACGUGCUACAAUGCGGCGCAUAAAGCGAACCGAGAGCGCAAGCUGGAGGAAAUCGCACAAAUCGUCGCCCAGUUCAGAUUGGAGGCUGCAACUCGCCUCCAUGAAGUUGGAAUCGCUAGUAAUCGCGGAUCAGCUACGCCGCGGUGAAUGUGUUCCCGGGCCUUGUACACACGACUGUAC
This 447-nucleotide ribosomal RNA is filed under the name uncultured bacterium. RNAcentral's name for it is "bacterial SSU rRNA". It matches the Rfam family "Bacterial small subunit ribosomal RNA", at positions 958 to 1399 of the family's 1533-position model. The record is from RNAcentral.